UACACUCCUACGGGAGGCAGCAGUGGGGAAUUUUGGACAAUGGGCGAAAGCCUGAUCCAGCAAUGUCGCGUGUGUGAAGAAGGCCUUCGGGUUGUAAAGCACUUUUGUCCGGAAAGAAAUCCUUGGCUCUAAUACAGUCGGGGGAUGACGGUACCGGAAGAAUAAGCACCGGCUAACUACGUGCCAGCAGCCGCGGUAAUACGUAGGGUGCGAGCGUUAAUCGGAAUUACUGGGCGUAAAGCGUGCGCAGGCGGUUUGCUAAGACCGAUGUGAAAUCCCCGGGCUCAACCUGGGAACUGCAUUGGUGACUGGCAGGCUAGAGUAUGGCAGAGGGGGGUAGAAUUCCACGUGUAGCAGUGAAAUGCGUAGAGAUGUGGAGGAAUACCGAUGGCGAAGGCAGCCCCCUGGGCCAAUACUGACGCUCAUGCACGAAAGCGUGGGGAGCAAACAGGAUUAGAAACCCCUGUAGUCCCAUG
This 476-nucleotide ribosomal RNA is filed under the name uncultured organism. RNAcentral describes it as "partial 16S ribosomal RNA". It matches the Rfam family "Bacterial small subunit ribosomal RNA", at positions 332 to 799 of the family's 1533-position model. The record is from RNAcentral.